GGCGAGGAGGCCGCCCCAGUGACAGCGAUGGCGGUGGAGUCGGCGCUCCAGGUGGUGGAGAAGCUGCAGGCGCGCCUGGCCGCGAACCCGGACCCCAAGAAGCUAUUGAAAUAUUUGAAGAAAUUUUCCACCCUACCUAUUACAGUAGACAGGGGUUGGGAAGACGGUGAAUAGCUUUUGAAAGCAUGAGCAAGUUGGGGACUUCACCAGGGGCCUUGUGGCCCAGUGGAAGAAGCUGGUGCCUGUUGAACAAAACAAUGAGGCUGAGGAACAGGACUUUGAGAAGAGUAAUUCAAGAAAGCGCCCUCGGGAAGCUCUUCAGAGAGAGGAAGAGAUCGAAGGGGACUACCAGGAAAACUGGAAAGCUUCCGGCAGCUGGUCCUAUAGCCCUGAGCACAGACAGAAAAAACACAAAAAGCUCUUGGAGCUGGAAAGACCUCACAAAGUGUCUCACAGUCAUGAGAGGAGAGAGGAGAGGAAGAGGUAUCUCAGAAUGUCACCUGCAUACUCUUCAGACCCCAAGUCUUCUGACUACGGCCAUGUCCAGUCCCCUCCGUCCGCUGGCAGUCCUCAUCAGAUGUACAUGGACAAUUACAGGUCCCCAGAGGAGGAGCAUGAGCCCACUGUUCCACAUCAGAAACCCAGAAAAGGCCACAGUAAUGCCUUUCACGAUAGACUAGGGGUCAGCCAUGAGCAACACCUGGGUGAAACCCAUGGGAAAGGGACCCUGAAUCCAAGCAAGGAGCACAAAUCUUCCCACAAGGAGAAACGCUUCGGGGAAGCCAAGAGCGAUGAAAAGUCCUCUUUGGGCAGAGAGAAACCACAUAAGUCUCUCUCCAGAGAGGAGAACCAAAGGCCACUGUCAGGGGACAGUGUCAAGGAGAAACUGCCCUCCAGUGCCACCAAGAAAGAGAAGGAAAGAGAAGGUAGCAGCCUCAAAAAGAAGUGUUUGCCCUCUGUGGAGGUUGUCUCAGACAACCACCUUAAAAAAUCAAAGCACAAGGACUCUGAGAAAACCAAGUCAGACAAAAGCAAGCAAAGUGCGGAUGGCUUAGACGUGGGGAAAGGGGUGGGAGACUCUUCCAAAAUAAGAGAGAAGGUUUCUAACAACCUCAAGACUCAAGAAGGGAAAGUAAAAACCUCCAAUUCAGAGAGGAAGUCACUGAGCUCGCUCCCUAAAGUGGAGGAGACCGACGUGGAUGAUGAAUUUGAGCAGCCCACCAUGUCGUUUGAGUCGUACCUCAGCUAUGACCAGCCCUACAAGAAAAAGAAAAAGGUGGUAAAAACUUCAACCACAGCACCUGGGGAAAAAGGACUUUAAAAAAGUGGUUCCAAAAGCACUAGUAAAAACUUGGACUCAGUUCAAAAAUUGCCCAAAGUGAAUGAAAACAAAUCUGAGACGCCACAGCCAACUGGAAUGGAUUCAGCCAGGCUGAGAAAGGUCCCCCCCCACCCCCGAAGCACUGCCAGUGUUGCCAGACCUCCCGUUGUCUACAAUCCAGGCCAAUUACCGCCCACUUCCUUCCCUUGAGUUCAUGUCAUCCUCCCUUGAGUUCAUGUCAUCCUCCCAGCCAAAGCGAAAAGCAUUUUCUUCGCUCCAGGAAGAAGAAGCAGCCGGGUUCACGGGGCGCAGGAUGAACUCUAUGAUGCAGGUGUACUCUGGUUCCAAGUGUGCCUAUCUCCCCAAAAUGAUGACCCUGCACCAGCAGUGCAUCCGUGUGCUCAAGAACAACAUCAAUUCCAUCUAUGAAGUGGGAGGAGUCCCCUAUUCUGUUCUUGAACCCGUUCUGGAGAGGUGUACACCAGAGCAGUUGUACCGCAUAGAGGAAUACAAUCAUGUUUUAAUUGAAGAAACAGAUCAAUUAUGGAAAGUUCAUUGUCACUGAGACUUUAAGGAAGAAAGACCCGAAGAAUAUGAGUCCUGGAGGGAGAUGUAGCUGCGGCUUCAGGAUGCCCGAGAGCAGUGGCUACGAGUUCUGACAAAGAAUAUCUGAUCUGCACAUGCCAACAAGCCCAAAGGCCGGCAAGCAAAGAUGGCCUUUGUCAACUCUGUGGCCAAGCCACCUCGCGAUGUUCGGCGGAGGCAGGAGAAGUUUGGAACUGGAGGAGUCACUGUCCAUGAGAAAGUCAAGAUUAAGCCGGCCCCAUACACCACAGGAAGCAGCCACGUUCCUGCCAGCAGCAACAGCUUUAACUCCAGCCCGGAGGAGCCGGCCUACGAUGGCCCCAGCACCAGCAGCGCCCACUUGGCGCCAGUGGUCAACAGUACUGUCUGCUAUGAUCCUAGGAAACCAGCAGUGAAGAAAGUUGCCCCGAUGAUGGCCAAGACGAUUAAAGCUUUCAAGAAUAGAUUCUCCAGGCAAUAAACGGGAAGACCUGCCUUGCAGGUGGAAUUUGGGAGACAGGAAUACAGGGACAUUGGGGCUGCGGAGUGAGCCUUCCAGAGGAGACCGGAGUCUUUUGCUUUGUGCCAGCUUUUGGCCUCUGCAGCCUGCACGUGUGCUGGUGUCGGCCCUGUGUG
This is an RNA transcript of Octodon degus (degu), 2521 nucleotides long. It is a transcript of the gene named elongin-A pseudogene, with no coding region annotated. The record is from RefSeq and is a predicted model, not a curated record. The transcript has a single exon. NCBI's taxonomy places the organism in Eukaryota, Metazoa, Chordata, Mammalia, Rodentia, Octodontidae.